GCCCAAGUAGCUCAGUUGGGAGAGCGCUACCCUGAAGAGGUAGCUGUCGCUGGUUCAAGUCCGGCCUUGGGCA
Molecule: transfer RNA, 73 nt
Filed under: Methanosarcinaceae archaeon
Lineage: Archaea; Methanobacteriati; Methanobacteriota; Methanomicrobia; Methanosarcinales; Methanosarcinaceae
Description: tRNA-Phe
Rfam family: tRNA
About the family: Transfer RNA (tRNA) molecules are approximately 80 nucleotides in length.
Source: RNAcentral